RNAcentral lists this transfer RNA (67 nucleotides) under Marmota monax (woodchuck). Its description in RNAcentral is "tRNA.Ala". The record is from RNAcentral. Lineage: Eukaryota; Metazoa; Chordata; Mammalia; Rodentia; Sciuridae.
GGUUAUGGCUCAGGGGUAGAGUGUUCCCCUAGCAUGUGGGAGGCCCUGGGUUCAAUCCUCAGCACCA